AAGGCCUCAGCGGGAGAGGCCGGACGCGAACCGCAAGGGGCGCGAUCCGGCGCCGAAGGAGCAACCGCCCCGGAAACUCUCAGGCAAAAGGACCGCUGGGCAAGC
This 105-nucleotide non-coding RNA is filed under the name Polymorphum gilvum. RNAcentral describes it as "Glycine sequence". It matches the Rfam family "Glycine riboswitch aptamer". From Rfam's summary of the family: This family represents the bacterial glycine riboswitch. Glycine riboswitches usually consist of two metabolite-binding aptamers domains with similar structures in tandem. Lineage: Bacteria; Pseudomonadati; Pseudomonadota; Alphaproteobacteria; Rhodobacterales; Paracoccaceae. RNAcentral also lists the same sequence under 1 other name. The record is from RNAcentral.